This 73-nucleotide transfer RNA is filed under the name Dreissena polymorpha. Its description in RNAcentral is "tRNA-Lys". Lineage: Eukaryota; Metazoa; Mollusca; Bivalvia; Myida; Dreissenidae. The record is from RNAcentral.
AACAGAUGGCCGAGUGGUCUAAGCGAUUGACUUUUACUCAAGGGUUCAGUGGUUCGAGCCCAGUUGACGGUUA